RNAcentral lists this ribosomal RNA (570 nucleotides) under Bombina orientalis. Its description in RNAcentral is "partial 16S ribosomal RNA". It matches the Rfam family "Bacterial large subunit ribosomal RNA", at positions 1818 to 2602 of the family's 2925-position model. The record is from RNAcentral. Lineage: Eukaryota; Metazoa; Chordata; Amphibia; Anura; Bombinatoridae.
GCCUCUUGCAACUCACAUAUAAGAGGUAACGCCUGCCCAGUGACCAUGUGUUCAACGGCCGCGGUAUUCUGACCGUGCAAAGGUAGCGUAAUCACUUGUCUUUUAAAUAAAGACUAGUAUGAAUGGCAUCACGAGAGUUCAACUGUCUCCCCCACCCAAUCAGUGAAACUGAUCUCCCCGUGCAGAAGCGGGGAUAAAACCAUAAGACGAGAAGACCCCAUGGAGCUUUAAACUAAAGGCACUAGCUCUUAAUUUACCCCCAAGGACAAAACAUUAAACCAGUUAAAGUGACCUGUCGUUUUCGGUUGGGGCGACCACGGAGAAAAACAAAUCCUCCGAGAUGAAAGGGUAAACCCUUAGCCAAGACCCACAAUUCUAAGCAAUAGAACAUCUAACGCACCGAUCCAAUCAAAUUGAUCAACGAACCAAGUUACCCUGGGGAUAACAGCGCAAUCUAUUUUCAGAGUUCAUAUCGACAAAUAGGUUUACGACCUCGAUGUUGGAUCAGGGCCUCCUAGCGGUGCAGCCGCUGCUAAGGGUUCGUUUGUUCAACGAUUAAAGCCCUACGUG